GGAGGUGGCUAGGGGCUCCUAUUGGUACACAGUGAGUAUGUGGUGGUGAUGGCUUAUGCCAAAUUAUCUGUUGCAUGUUUGAAAGUUAAUGUUGGGCCAGGCAUUUGGAGAGGUUCAAGGGAAGAUAUAUCAAUUUUGACAACUGAAGACAACAUUGUUUCUUAGCUGGUAAAAAUAUUAAACUUUUAAGGAAAACAGAAAUAUAAUGUUUAUUAUGAAUUUCCAGCCAAAGGGCAGACACACUGGCUUUCAAUGCUCUCCUUGAAUAGAAGCUGCCUCCUCUAGCGCUUCACACGUUCUGGGUUGAAAGCCACAAUUACUCUACUGUAACAAAGCCUUGGUGUUGGUUUGCUUCAUAGAUUCCUUUUCCCUUGGGUUUGAUCCUGCCUGGAAAAAUGUCUGCAACAGCACUGAUCGGAUUAUCCUGACCAGAGGAGAGCCUCUCCUUUACCGCCUGUGAGAAGUGGAAUCAUGGAUAUAGAGAUGCUAAGAAGUGCCUAAAUCUUCUGGCAGAUAGAUUGUGAACAUCUCAGCUUUUCCUUGGAGAUACGCGUUCUACUUUGGUUACCUAUGUGUUUGGUUUCCUUGCACCUCUGCGUGAAGUGCACUUUCCUAAAGUUCAGUUACAAGAACAUUUGGAACAUCUCUCCAACCUGCGUUCCUUUUGUGAUGCUCUCCUAAAUAGUUAUUUUAGGCUUAGCGUUGGAGAUGGAUGACAAUCUUCACCAAAACCCUCAACUUCCUCCUUGGAAACUGCCAACAUUCAAAUUGACAUCAGUGGAGCAAGAAAGUAAUU
Molecule: long non-coding RNA, 796 nt
Filed under: Homo sapiens (human)
Lineage: Eukaryota; Metazoa; Chordata; Mammalia; Primates; Hominidae
Description: non-protein coding lnc-ERI3-1:1
Source: RNAcentral